AAGUCGAACGAGGUAGUUAUACCGAGUGGCGAACGGGUGAGUAACGACGUAGGUAACCGUGCCUUACAGUUUGGGAUACCCUGGCGAAAGCUAGGCUAAUACCGUAUAAUUGGAUUGGAGGCAUCUCCGAUCGUCUAAAAGGGGCCCUUAAAGCCUCGCUGAAUGAUGGACCUGCGGCGCAUUAGCUAGUUGGUGAGAUAAUAGCCCACCAAGGCGAGGGAUGCGUAGCCGGACCUGAGAGGGUGAACGGCCACACUGGAACUGAGACACGGUCCAGACUCCUACGGGAGGCAGCAGUAGGGAGUUUUCGGCAAUGGGGGAAACCCUGACCGAGCAACGCCGCGUGAAUGAUGAAGGUUCCUUCGAAUUGUAAAGUUCUGUUGUAAGGGAAAAAUGAUAUGGUGAGGAAAUGCUCCAUAUUUGAUGGUACCUUAUUAGAAAGCCACGGCUAACUACGUGCCAGCAGCAGC
Molecule: ribosomal RNA, 470 nt
Filed under: uncultured bacterium
Lineage: Bacteria
Description: bacterial SSU rRNA
Rfam family: Bacterial small subunit ribosomal RNA
Source: RNAcentral